GCGCAGCCCGGCCUGAGUGGAGCUCAUUUUUUUUGCUGGUACAACCUAUCUUGGAAAUGAAAAGUGUGUGCAAAAAAAUAGCGGGAACGGAGGACGGAUUAAGC
This 104-nucleotide unclassified non-coding RNA is filed under the name Epilithonimonas lactis. RNAcentral's name for it is "Chryseobacterium halperniae Flavo-1 RNA". The record is from RNAcentral. Lineage: Bacteria; Pseudomonadati; Bacteroidota; Flavobacteriia; Flavobacteriales; Weeksellaceae.